This is a long non-coding RNA of Homo sapiens (human), 805 nucleotides long. RefSeq lists it as uncharacterized. Lineage: Eukaryota; Metazoa; Chordata; Mammalia; Primates; Hominidae. The transcript is spliced from 2 exons. The record is from RefSeq and is a predicted model, not a curated record.
CAGCCUCCCAAAGUGCUGGGAUUCCAGGCCACUGUGCCUGGCCGAAACCUUUAAUUGAACAGGCUGCCUCAAGUGUGGGGCUAGAAAGCAGGAGCUUGGGGUCUGGUCCUGCUCCCCCACCCUCUUGGACCUGUCACUGCCUCUCCCUGGUCCUCCUUGUGAAUGGGACACACAGCAGGAGGAGAGGCUCCCACAAGGCAAGGUUCAUGAGCCACAAGACUCUGUGAAGUCCAGCAUCCUCACUGGAGUGGACAACAGAUUUGGCUAUAAGCUUCCUGGCAGCCACUGGGAAGAAAGAAACUAUCACACACUUUUUCUUUAAGGCUAACUGGCUUCUCAGGAAAUCCUUCCCUCUUCCUCACAGAAAAACCACAGAAAUUUCUCCUGUACAUUCUCAUAGAACAAUGAUGUGCCAGGAAUGGCAGCUAUUACAGGAGACAGCAACAGCACACGGCGGCAACCUCACGGACAGAGAGCAGGCACAGUCUGAGCCCUGAGGUCACCCUCAGUCCCCUACUUGGACACAGUGGCUGUGAUCCUGAAGACACCCUCUUAAGACACAGAACAUGCCCUGUACGUGACUGCUGUUUAUGAGACUGGUGACCAAGAGGGUAAGAGGCCCCACCUGUGCCAGGGGCCCUGGACAGGCAGAGAUUUUGUCUUCAGCUUCAAAAACAGACGUCCCAGCCAGCUUCCCUGCUGGAACUUUGAUCACUGAUGUUUCAGAACCAGACAUCAUGAACAUCCACAUCCCCAAGUAAAUAAGUGACAGGCCUGUUAUUAAUAAUUCUCUAUUUAUUAAAAA